This 39-nucleotide ribosomal RNA is filed under the name Monilinia laxa. Its description in RNAcentral is "partial 28S ribosomal RNA". The record is from RNAcentral. Lineage: Eukaryota; Fungi; Ascomycota; Leotiomycetes; Helotiales; Sclerotiniaceae.
CGUUACAGGUUCUCGGUGUGCUUCUGCCAAAACCCAAAU